This 1399-nucleotide ribosomal RNA is filed under the name uncultured bacterium. Its description in RNAcentral is "bacterial SSU rRNA". It matches the Rfam family "Bacterial small subunit ribosomal RNA". The record is from RNAcentral.
UAGAGUUUGAUCCUGGCUCAGGAUGACCCCUUGCGGCGUGCUUAACACAUUCAAGUCGAACGGACAACUUAGGAGCUUGCUCCUUUGUUGUUAGUGGCGGACGGGUGAGUAACGCGUGAGCAACCUGCCUUUUUCUGCGGAAUAACAUUGGGAAACCGGUGCUAAUACCGCAUAACAUGCACAAAUUGCAUAAUUUAUGCAUCAAAGGAGAAAUCCGGAAAAAGAUGGGCUCGCGUCUGAUUAGGUAGUUGGUAGGGUAAUGGCCUACCAAGCCCACGAUCAGUAGCCGGACUGAGAGGUCGAACGGCCACAUUGGAACUGAGAAACGGUCCAGACUCCUACGGGAGGCAGCAGUGAGGAAUAUUGGUCAAUGGGCGCUAGCCUGAACCAGCCAAGUCGCGUGAAGGAUGACAGAUCUAUGGUUUGUAAACUUCUUUUGCAGGGGAGUAAAGUGCGACACGUGUGUUGUAUUGCAAGUACCCUGCGAAUAAGCAUCGGCUAACUCCGUGCCAGCAGCCGCGGUAAUACGGAGGAUGCAAGCGUUAUCCGGAUUUAUUGGGUUUAAAGGGUGCGUAGGCGGGUUAUCAAGUCAGCGGUGAAAUUUUUCGGCUUAACCGUAAAAUUGCCGUUGAAACUGGUGAUCUUGAGUGCGAGCGAGGUAGGCGGAAUGUGCCGUGUAGCGGUGAAAUGCAUAGAUAUGGCACAGAACUCCGAUUGCGAAGGCAGCUUACUAGUACGCUACUGACGCUGAUGCACGAAGGCGUGGGGAUCAAACAGGAUUAGAUACCCUGGUAGUCCACGCAGUAAACGAUGAUUACUAGCUGUUUGCGAUAUACCGUAAGCGGCCGAGCGAAAGCAUUAAGUAAUCCACCUGGGGAGUACGUUCGCAAGAAUGAAACUCAAAGGAAUUGACGGGGGCCCGCACAAGCGGAGGAACAUGUGGUUUAAUUCGAUGAUACGCGAGGAACCUUACCCGGGCUUGAAAUGCAUCUGACCGAAGUGGAAACACUUUUUCUAGCAAUAGCAGAUGUGUAGGUGCUGCAUGGUUGUCGUCAGCUCGUGCCGUGAGGUGUCGGCUUAAGUGCCAUAACGAGCGCAACCCUUGCCGUUAGUUGCCAUCAGGUUAUGCUGGGAACUCUAGCGGGACUGCCACCGUAAGGUGUGAGGAAGGUGGGGAUGACGUCAAAUCAGCACGGCCCUUAUGUCCGGGGCGACACACGUGUUACAAUGGGCGGUACAGAGGGAAGCUACCCGGUGACGGGAUGCUAAUCUUUAAAACCGUUCUCAGUUCGGAUCGGAGUCUGUAACUCGACUCUGUGAAGCUGGAUUCGCUAGUAAUCGCGCAUCAGCCAUGGCGCGGUGAAUACGUUCCCGGGCCUUGCACACACCGCCCGUCAAG